GAAAAAGAUUUCUAAUUUUUUUUCAAAAAAUAGAGAUUAGUCUUGGAAUCUACUUCAUAUCGAACUUAAACAACUCGAACCGUCUAUUUUGUAAAUGUCGAUUUAAUAUAUCAUCUUUUUAAAAAUUCAAUUCAAUUUGAAACUAUUUGCCUAUUUAAUUGUCAUGAUGAAAUUUCAAUGUUUCUUAGAACAUUGUGUUUGUCAAUUUUCUUUGAACUCAAUUAAAUGCGUCAAGUUUUUCUAAUUUGACUAAUAUUUUGUAAGGAUGAUCUAUCAGGUGACACUUAAAAAACAGACGGUCGAAUCGUUAAAAUUCAAUGAGAUGUGAUCCCCACAACCAAUUUGAAAAAUAGGAAUCCUUUCUCAUAAAUAUGGAGUGGGUCCCAUAAUAUGUAUGACUAUUGCAACAUAUGUAUAUAAUUUCCUCCAACUCUCUUAUCUGUUGGGAUCUGUUUGUCAUUUUCAGCAAAGAUUUCUUUUUCAUUUUUUUUUUCAUUUUUUGGAAACUGCCAAGGAUUUUGUUUCUUGGCUCUUGUUAUUGUAUGGGAUAUGAAGAGAGACUACUUAGUUUAGUUUUAGUACUACUUUCUGCAUAUUUGCAUUAUUCGCUCCAUUACUACUUCAGUGUUUUGACCAAAUGAUGGCGUAGGCAAGAACUUUAUCCAUCAUUACCAAUUUAAGCCAAUCACUAAGGCUCCACAUUUAUCAUUUAUGCACAUGAACUUCGACAUUAACUGGAUAAGGGAAAUAUUUUUGCUUUUCACCUUUAAGUAAUAGUGACGGUUUACCAUCUUAUUAUCAUUGUUGAAUAAGUUUAGAUUUUGAGAUUUGAGUAAUAGAUAGACAUGAAUUUUAGAAUUUAAACUCAUCCGAUGGUAAUAAGUAGGAUGGUGAGCAUUAUCACUACUUGAGAGCGGUUAGUAAAAUUGCACCCAAUGAAUAAGAACUUACAAAGAACGCAUUCGCUGUCACUUUAGGGUUUUAGCGCAAUAAAAUAAUGCUACAUGUAAGUUUAUCUUCACAUGACAUUAGAUCAUUGCAUUGAGAUAUCACGUCGUAAUGAACUCAUUCCAUACCAAUUAAUGUCCGUCAAAAGGCUAUCAUGUUGUAAUGAACUUGUCACGUGGUAAGUUUCUCUUCACAUAUUUAUACACACCUUGUGGGGCUCAAUCUACAAUGAAUUUCAAUGAUCUGGCAGUUGAAUAUUAAUCUCUUAAUUCAUAUAUCAUAAUUGAAAAAAAUCAACAAAAUCAGAGAUAACUAAGACAAUUUGUUGUAAUGGACAAAGUAGACGAACAUAGUUUUUAAUAACCACUAAAAUGACUACCUUCUAAUUAAUUUGGUCAACAGUAGGAUCAUCAAAAUACAUUGUAGAUUGAGUCUCAUAUGGCGUCUCUCAAAUAAGCUUGCUUGAGAGAUCCCUCAACAAAAAGAGGACUAUAUGUAUAUAUAUAUACAGAGGAGUUUAUUAUUAGCUCUCUAAAAGUUUAAUUGUGCACUUCAAUCUUUCUAUAUUUACAAAGAAAAAUACUUUUAUAAAAAGGGCACAAUUAAAAUUUUCAAGUGCCAAUAAUAGUAUCAUAUAUAUAUAUAUAUAUAUAGACACACAUAUACAAAUCUUCUUUUAUGCAAUCGAAUUCAGUGUUUUUUGGUGGUGGUUUGUCCUUGUAGAUUUUAUUUUCUUCAAUUCACUGCAAAUAAAGUUUAAAUCCUCUUUCCAUUACUAUAGUUUAGAGUGUACACAUGUCAUUGUAUCAUUGGUAGGCAACAAUAUAAUGAUGGUGUACCUGUACGAUAGAAGUUUUCUUCAAAGAGUGAGGUUGAACGGUCUUGUUGUAUUUUCUUCACUUACAAGCGAAAAAUCUUAAGUUCAAAUCUCGCAUAUAACGAAUUUGAUACCAAUAGAUUUAAGGAACUGUUAUUAACACUUCAAAAAGUAAUUGUACACACUUCAUAAGAAUAUUUUUAUUUCUAAUUAUAAAAAAUUUGGAAUGCAUAAUUAUAUUUUGAGAACUAUUAAGGGCAUUAUCUCAAAAGCGAAACUUUUCAUAGACUUUUUGUCACCUUGUGUUUUUUGUACAAUGUUUUAUAAUAGCAUCACGGAAUUGACGUUGAACUAUGAGAUGACAGAUAGUUCAUGAAUAAUUCUUUUACCAUUUCUCCUAAUUUUUUGGAAUGCCAACAACAAUUUCCUCGGUGAAUAGUUGAUUAGGUUGAGAAAAAAAGUUAAAGUCGUAGGAUCUCUCAUCACGGAAUACCACGGCGACGCAUGACAAUUCAUAGACACAACCAAUUUCCAAGGCAACCUUGUCCUGCUCCUACUCCUAACCCCAAAGACAUGCAGGCACGAUGUGUAUUGUUGAUUAAGACUUCACUAACCUCACGGUGCCAACAUGGCUCACCAGCUUUAAUUUGUUAAACAAUUUCCCCUAAUUAAUUUCUAUUAGUGGAUGGUUGGACCACCUUGGUACUCUGCAAUGGUAUGGGAUUAGUUAAAUCAUGUAAAGGGUGUUUAAUUAAUUAAAAUUUGUGGACAAUAAUAUUGUUUACGGGUUACCUACUAUCCAUCAGAUUCUAAUCGGAUAACAUAUAAUAUUUUAACGUCUGAUGGGGGGUAGUAGGUAGGUGAGAUGGUUAUUUGCGAAGAGGGUGCAUGAUUGAAUAGUUUAAGUGACUUUUUGCUUAAUUAAUCAAAGUGGAUUAGCGAUUGAAAUAAGAUUCCGUAAGGAAUCAGCCACUUAGAAUGUGACGAAAACGAAUAAGUGGGAGAUUAAGAACAUGGUUUUUUUGGCAUAAAUCGUUAAAAGCAUGGGAAAACUAAUAGAAGGUCUCUUACAAAACUUUUUCUAAUUGAAAAUUAGUUAAACAACCUUUUUUAUUAUUAUUAUUAUUAAGAAUAUUUUUUGUAUUACAAAGACAAAAAAACGAGUCACAUUUCUUGAGAAUUUUGAAUUAAAAAAAAUGUCCUUAAUAAUAUGCAGCAUUUUUGCCCAUCACCAUUUAAUAGAUGCUCACCUCCCUCUUAUAACUUGCCACGCGUCCCAUUAACUUACCAGAGUUCAUUUUACGUGUCAAAUAUUUGUGAAAAGAAUUAAAAUAAAUAAAAUAACAAUCAAAACAAAACAAAAAAACCCCAACAUCUC
This 3143-nucleotide long non-coding RNA is filed under the name Malus domestica (apple). Its description in RNAcentral is "long non-coding RNA (MDOM_LNC005481)". Lineage: Eukaryota; Viridiplantae; Streptophyta; Magnoliopsida; Rosales; Rosaceae. The record is from RNAcentral.